Sapajus apella (tufted capuchin) is the source of this 93-nucleotide long non-coding RNA. RefSeq lists it as uncharacterized. Lineage: Eukaryota; Metazoa; Chordata; Mammalia; Primates; Cebidae. The transcript has 3 exons. The record is from RefSeq and is a predicted model, not a curated record.
UAUGAUUUGGAUCUAUGUCCGCACCCAAAUCUCAGGUGCAAUUGUGAUCCCCAGUAUUGGAGGUGGGACCUGGUGGGAGGGGACUGAAUGAUG